GGUUCCUUGGAUCGUACAUACUACAUGGAUAACUGUAGUAAUUCUAGAGCUAAUACAUGCCACUAUGCCCUGACCCGCAAGGGAACGGGUGGAUUUAUUAGAACAGAACCAACCGGGAAUGGCUCCGGUCGUUCCCGUUGCAUUCUGUGAUGACUCUGGAUAACUUCACUGAUCGCAGUCGGCCUUGAGCCGGCGACGGAUCCUUCAAAUGUCUGCCCUAUCAAUUUUCGAUGGUAGGUGACCUGCCUACCAUGGUUCUAACGGGUAACGGGGAAUCAGGGUUCGAUUCCGGAGAGGGAGCCUGAGAAACGGCUACCACUUCCAAGGGAGGCAGCAGGCGCGCAAAUUACCCAAUCCCGGCACGGGGAGGUAGUGACGAAAGAUACGGAUACGGGACUCAGUAGAGGCUCCGUAAUUCGAAUGAGUACAGCUUAAAUCCUUUAACGAGGAUCAACUGGAGGGCAAGUCUGGUGCCAGCAGCCGCGGUAACUCCAGCUCCAGAAGCGUAUAUUAAAGUUGUUGCAGUUAAAAAGCUCGUAGUUGGAUCUGGGUUGCAUGGCUACAUGCCGUCGCUUGUGAGUUUGUCCUGGUGAAAGCUGGGUUAAACUCGCGAGUCGGUCUAGUGGUUGUGCUUCCUUUCUGCUGUGUCUGUUUACAGGUGUCAGCGUGACCGGUGGGUUCUCUUGCCGGUCUGUUGGCAUGCUUCUUGGUGCC
RNAcentral lists this ribosomal RNA (714 nucleotides) under Pygorchis affixus. RNAcentral's name for it is "SSU rRNA". It matches the Rfam family "Eukaryotic small subunit ribosomal RNA", at positions 114 to 743 of the family's 1831-position model. The record is from RNAcentral. Lineage: Eukaryota; Metazoa; Platyhelminthes; Trematoda; Plagiorchiida; Philophthalmidae.